AUUGAACGCUGGCGGCAGGCCUAACACAUGCAAGUCGAAUGGUAACAGGAAACAGCUUGCUGUUUCGCUGACGAGUGGCGGACGGGUGAGUAAUGUCUGGGAAACUGCCUGAUGGAGGGGGAUAACUACUGGAAACGGUAGCUAAUACCGCAUAACGUCGCAAGACCAAAGAGGGGGACCUUCGGGCCUCUUGCCACCAGAUGUGCCCAGAUGGGAUUAGCUAGUAGGUGGGGUAACGGCUCACCUAGGCGACGAUCCCUAGCUGGUCUGAGAGGAUGACCAGCCACACUGGAACUGAGACACGGUCCAGACUCCUACGGGAGGCAGCAGUGGGGAAUAUUGCACAAUGGGCGCAAGCCUGAUGCAGCCAUGCCGCGUGUAUGAAGAAGGCCUUCGGGUUGUAAAGUAC
This 409-nucleotide ribosomal RNA is filed under the name uncultured bacterium. RNAcentral describes it as "bacterial SSU rRNA". It matches the Rfam family "Bacterial small subunit ribosomal RNA", at positions 30 to 433 of the family's 1533-position model. The record is from RNAcentral.